GAUGCUAGAUGUCCCGCAUUGCAUGGAAAAUCCCAGAGAAUGGGGAGCCAUCUCAUCCCUCACCUGACCCUGGAAAGUCCAGGAGGGAAUUCAUGUGUGUACAAGUCCCGCUUAUAACUGUACUUGAACCUAGAACGGAAUUACUAAUUACAUGAAAAUCCAGACUUUUUCCCAAGAUGCUAACACCCAGGGGAGGAAAGAGGAGCUUAGAGGAGCCGCUGACUCCAGCCUCAGCCUUCGCUCAGGCACAGCGACGGUAAUCAGAAGCCCUGCUGGCCAGACUGGCACUCGACACAACUUUCUGGAGAAAAGGAGCCCUGCUUUCAUCAAUAAUACUCUGUGUCCAAGUAUGGCGGCAUCAAGAGACUGGCUUUGCAAGUUUCAGUGGACUGCAGGAUUGGCACAAAGAAAUGUGACCUAUAUAAUCAACAUGGAGAAUGAAUUCUGAUGCAGAGCUUGAGAAGCAGAACCACUCCCUAGCAGUGCCAGACUCCAAGACGGCAGACUCCACCAGCCAUGCUAAAGUCAUCGUCCUGAAUUCUCUCCCACGCUACCCCUGCCAACCGGCCUCCUCAUAAGUGGGUCCACUACAUAGAGAGAGAGGAGCGUCUCUGGUCUUGGCACCUUGGAUCGUGUGCAUUUGGGUUUGUGUGUAUGGGUUGUGUAUGUGCAAUCACACAGAAAAAAUUGAUGGAGAUCACUCAACAAAGUGGGUCUUCACCCUGAAUUUCAGGUGACUUUCUAGAUUAAGAGAUCUGCAGGAUGGAUGGCUAUCAUUUCUGUAUCUCUCAAAUACAGUAUCUGUGGGAUGAAUAAAUGAUUCUUUUUGAUGAGUUGGGCCUUCCCAAAGGAAGUUAACUAACAGGGGCCAUGUUAGUGGAAAAUUAAAUUUCAAAAUAAACAAAUGUGAAGUCAAAGAA
Suricata suricatta (meerkat) is the source of this 920-nucleotide long non-coding RNA. RefSeq lists it as uncharacterized. NCBI's taxonomy places the organism in Eukaryota, Metazoa, Chordata, Mammalia, Carnivora, Herpestidae. The record is from RefSeq and is a predicted model, not a curated record. The transcript has 4 exons.